AUGAACGCUAGCGGGAGGCCUAACACAUGCCAGCCGAGCGGUAGAGUCUCUUCGGAGACUUGAGAGCGGCGCACGGGUGCGGAACGCGUGUGCAACCUGCCUUUAUCUGGGGGAUAGCCUUUCGAAGGGAAGAUUAAUACCCCAUAAUAUACUGGAUGGCAUCAUCUGGUAUUGAAAACUCCGGUGGAUAGAGAUGGGCACGCGCAAGAUUAGAUAGUUGGUGAGGUAACGGCUCACCAAGUCAGCGAUCUUUAGGGGGCCUGAGAGGGUGAUCCCCCACACUGGUACUGAGACACGGACCAGACUCCUACGGGAGGCAGCAGUGAGGAAUAUUGGACAAUGGGUGAGAGCCUGAUCCAGCCAUCCCGCGUGAAGGACGACGGCCCUAUGGGUUGUAAACUUCUUUUGUAUAGGGAUAAACCUAGAUACGUGUAUCUAGCUGAAGGUACUAUACGAAUAAGCACCGGCUAACUCCGUG
This 478-nucleotide ribosomal RNA is filed under the name uncultured bacterium. RNAcentral describes it as "partial 16S ribosomal RNA". It matches the Rfam family "Bacterial small subunit ribosomal RNA", at positions 29 to 507 of the family's 1533-position model. The record is from RNAcentral.